Molecule: long non-coding RNA, 698 nt
Organism: Helianthus annuus (common sunflower)
Lineage: Eukaryota; Viridiplantae; Streptophyta; Magnoliopsida; Asterales; Asteraceae
Exons: 2
Source: RefSeq, a predicted model, not a curated record
CACACUCUCUCUUUCUCUCUACCAUCUUCGCUCUCUCUUUCUCUCUCAAAACUAAUCGCCGGCCACCAAAUCUGAAAACACAACUCUGACCACCAAAUCAAUUGAUGUUGAAUACACAGAGGUUGGGGGUUUUGUUAACCCUCGUUGCCGAAAAAAAACAACGGUAGGGGUUUUCUUUGCCAGUGGUUUAGAUAGAGAGAGGUUUGGGUUCCGACGACCCAAUUGAUUUUCCGGUGAUAUGCUACAGUUUUGGCAACAUUCAACACACAAUCGGUGUUGGUUCAUGGAGUUCAACGGUGGAUGCCGCCCAAUUUCGCACUCCGGAAUCUAUAGAGGUCAAUGCCAUAAUGGCACCAUGCCUUGGCAUCUUUAACGUUACAUCUAAUAUAGAUGACAUCCAUGUACAACUCGAUAUAGGAAGGUGUUGCAAGGAACUCCAGAAGAUACCACCAUGGAUUAAUACCAAGGCGAAUGGCUUGUCUAAUUUGUGCAACAUUCUAAAGGAACUCGUUAAGUCUUUGCCGUACUUCCAACCAAAGCCUUUCGGUCGUGUUAUGUCUGAAAAACGUCCUGUGAAGCUUGGUCUGCCUCUUUUAACUCCAAAUGUUAACUGCCAAAAUAUAAAAUAAACUAGAAAAAUAGUAUUAUUGUUGUUGUUAUUAUUAUUAUUAUUAAUGGUCAAGUGUAACAACUGUUAA